Molecule: transfer RNA, 77 nt
Filed under: bacterium
Lineage: Bacteria
Also listed under: 5 other names
Description: tRNA-Asp
Rfam family: tRNA
About the family: Transfer RNA (tRNA) molecules are approximately 80 nucleotides in length. Their secondary structure includes four short double-helical elements and three loops (D, anti-codon, and T loops). Further hydrogen bonds mediate the characteristic L-shaped molecular structure. tRNAs have two regions of fundamental functional importance: the anti-codon, which is responsible for specific mRNA codon recognition, and the 3' end, to which the tRNAs corresponding amino acid is attached (by aminoacyl-tRNA synthetases). tRNAs cope with the degeneracy of the genetic code in two manners: having more than one tRNA (with a specific anti-codon) for a particular amino acid; and 'wobble' base-pairing, i.e. permitting non-standard base-pairing at the 3rd anti-codon position.
Source: RNAcentral
GGGGCUGUAGUUCAGACGGUUAGAACGCCGGCCUGUCACGCCGGAGGUCGCGGGUUCGAUCCCCGUCGGCCCCGCCA